This 419-nucleotide unclassified non-coding RNA is filed under the name plant metagenome. Its description in RNAcentral is "partial contains 5.8S ribosomal RNA, internal transcribed spacer 2, and large subunit ribosomal RNA". The record is from RNAcentral.
CACCCACACGUCGCGGAAGCGCACCUUCGCGUUCGGCACGAAGUAGAACACCAGGCCGACGACGACAAUGAAGAGCAGCGUGGUGGCGUUCCCGACGGCGAUGCUGCGCAGCACCGUGAGCCCGGGGAACUGGGCCACGACGCCCGCAAACCAGGUGCUGCCGACCACGCCGGCGGCCGACACGAGGAGCAGCGCCACGAGCAGCACGAGCCCCGCGACGACCAGCAUCAGGAACGAGAAGAGCUUGUGCUUCCAGAAGCUGCGCGUCUUCUCCACACCCCAUGCGUAGUUGACUGCCGUGCUGAUGGCGCCGAACACGCCGAGCGCGCCCCAGACGCUCGCCAGCGUUCCGGCGACCCCGAGCGUCAGCCUCGCCGACCUGAACGAGUCGAGCUGGCGCGUGAUGAAGUCGAACUGCU